UUGAAUUUAAUGAAGAGUUUGGUUGUAGCUGGCCCAUUCAUUUGGGCAUGUGCACACCUUCCUCUUUCAUCCCGCACACACCUGUGAACCUGCGAGACAGAGAUGGGGAAUUUACUUGCUGCUUUUUGGAAUACAAAGGCAAUAGGUUAUUGGACCCCCCCUCUGUCUACUCAAUUAAUAUAAACUCAAUUUAUUUUAAAACGAAUGUAAUGGAUGUAACACAUCUCAUAC
Molecule: unclassified non-coding RNA, 231 nt
Filed under: soil metagenome
Description: partial internal transcribed spacer 1
Source: RNAcentral